This 90-nucleotide transfer RNA is filed under the name Maribacter spongiicola. RNAcentral's name for it is "tRNA-Tyr". It matches the Rfam family "tRNA". From Rfam's summary of the family: Transfer RNA (tRNA) molecules are approximately 80 nucleotides in length. Lineage: Bacteria; Pseudomonadati; Bacteroidota; Flavobacteriia; Flavobacteriales; Flavobacteriaceae. The record is from RNAcentral.
GGAGGAAUGGCAGAGUGGUCUAUUGUAGAUAAUGAUGUAUUUUAUUAUUGAGGUUAACGCCUCCGAGGGUUCGAAUCCCUUCUUCCUCCG